Molecule: ribosomal RNA, 775 nt
Filed under: uncultured Neocallimastigales
Lineage: Eukaryota; Fungi; Neocallimastigomycota; Neocallimastigomycetes; Neocallimastigales
Description: partial large subunit ribosomal RNA
Rfam family: Eukaryotic large subunit ribosomal RNA
Source: RNAcentral
UAUGUGAUCGUCUCUCGCAUAUCAAUAAGCGGAGGAAAAGAAACUAACAAGGAUUCCCCUAGUAACGGCGAGUGAAGCGGGAAGAGCUCAAAUUUGAAAUCUUAAAGGGUUUCCCUUUACGAAUUGUAGUUUAAAGAAGUGUUUUCUGUUGAGGUUUUGGUAAAAGUUCUUUGGAAUAGGACAUCAUAGAGGGUGAGAAUCCCGUAUUUGACCUUUACUUUCAACUUUGUGAUACACUUUCAAAGAGUCGGAUUGUUUGGGAAUGCAGUCCAAAAUGGGUGGUAAAUUUCAUCUAAAGCUAAAUAUUGGCGAGAGACCGAUAGCGAACAAGUACCGUGAGGGAAAGAUGAAAAGAACUUUGAAAAGAGAGUUAAACAGUACGUGAAAUUGUCAAAAGGGAAGCGUUUGACACCAGUGUUGUUUUUCUGAAAAUCAAUUAAAGAACUGGUUUAUGCUAAGCUGUUUAGACUUUAUCAGCUAAUCUGUUUAGUUUUGAGCUUUUCUUUAAUGCACUUUUCAGUUAACAAGUCAACAUCAAUUUCUUUUGCUGUAAAAAAGCUUGAGGAAGGUGGCUUGAGAUUCGUCUUAAGUGUUUAUAGCCUCUUGCCUAUGCAGUCGGAGAGAUUGAGGUCUGCAGCGUAGAUCCUUCGGGGCUAAAUGCAUUUGUGCUAAGUUAUAGCAUUUUAUAGACAACUUGUUGACUAUGAUUUGUCUUGUAGCUUACUCGCUUAUGUUAUUUUACCUACGCUUAGGAUGUUGACUGAUAUGUAGUCGU